Molecule: ribosomal RNA, 766 nt
Filed under: gamma proteobacterium BAL358
Lineage: Bacteria; Pseudomonadati; Pseudomonadota; Gammaproteobacteria
Description: bacterial SSU rRNA
Rfam family: Bacterial small subunit ribosomal RNA
Source: RNAcentral
AUCUGCCUGAUAGUGGGGGACAACGUUUCGAAAGGAACGCUAAUACCGCAUACGUCCUACGGGAGAAAGCAGGGGACCUUCGGGCCUUGCGCUAUCAGAUGAGCCUAGGUCGGAUUAGCUAGUUGGUGAGGUAACGGCUCACCAAGGCGACGAUCCGUAACUGGUCUGAGAGGAUGAUCAGUCACACUGGAACUGAGACACGGUCCAGACUCCUACGGGAGGCAGCAGUGGGGAAUAUUGGACAAUGGGCGAAAGCCUGAUCCAGCCAUGCCGCGUGUGUGAAGAAGGUCUUCGGAUUGUAAAGCACUUUAAGUUGGGAGGAAGGGCAUUAACCUAAUACGUUAGUGUUUUGACGUUACCGACAGAAUAAGCACCGGCUAACUUCGUGCCAGCAGCCGCGGUAAUACGAAGGGUGCAAGCGUUAAUCGGAAUUACUGGGCGUAAAGCGCGCGUAGGUGGUUUGUUAAGUUGAAUGUGAAAGCCCCGGGCUCAACCUGGGGAACUGCAUCCAAAACUGGCAAGCUAGAGUAUGGCAGAGGGGUGGUGGAAUUUCCUGUGUAGCGGUGAAAUGCGUAGAUAUAGGAAGGAACACCAGUGGGCGAAGGCGACCACCUGGGGCUAAUACUGACACUGAGGUGCGAAAGCGUGGGGAGCAAACAGGAUUAGAUACCCUGGUAGUCCACGCCGUAAACGAUGUCGACUAGCCGUUGGGAUCCUUGAGAUCUUAGUGGCGCAGCUAACGCAUUAAGUCGACCGCCUGGGGAGU